Molecule: long non-coding RNA, 1535 nt
Organism: Thunnus maccoyii (southern bluefin tuna)
Lineage: Eukaryota; Metazoa; Chordata; Actinopteri; Scombriformes; Scombridae
Exons: 4
Source: RefSeq, a predicted model, not a curated record
UGGGUUAGAACAGAACAGGAGAGGAGAGGAGGAGUACAGGAGAAAGGAAGGAGGAGGAGGAUGGUGGUGCGUCUGUACAGAGGAUGCUCUAUGUGAGCGUUUCUGCCGUGGAUGGAUGCGGUAGUGUCCUUGCGCGUCAGAGAUUGGGUGGAAAAGGGAAAAAAAGAAAAGAAAAGACGCAACAAAAAAAACGGAAAUCAAAAAUAUGAAAGCGAACUGAUGUGAGGCUCCACUCGUCUUUUCAGCCUAAGAUACAUGGUGUUUCCCCGGAAUGCCGUGCUGCUGCUGAUGUCGUCGUCUCUCUCCAAGCAGGACCAGGACGACUGGCUGGAGAGCAGAGAGACAAAAUGAGAAGUUGAGGAGCAUCAAGUCCCUCCUACCGGCUACUGUCAUACUGACACCUGCAGAAACUGCAUGCAAUCAACAGUGAUUACAACUCUACUCAUGUAUACAGUUGGAGGGCGGCUGUACUGCACGAUUUGCUAAAAGUUUCAGAUCACCCAGAGGCGUGGCCGGACGUAUGGAGUCAGAUACCACAAAAAGGAGAAGCAGGACACCGUCAACCAAUGAGAAGACGACAACACCCCGAACACGCGAGGACCAGAAUUGCAGCAGUCCUCAACAAUUUGGUGACCCCGACGUGAUGAAGACGGAGAAGUGAGGCUCGACGAGCGCAGAACGAGUGACUGCAAAACUUCGCGGCGCCGCUAAAACAAGGACCUGGAGCUGGUGGCGUGACAUCAAAAACCACUCCAUUCCUAGCAGCUUUCUCAAAAGAGGUUGCUGAGGCAAAAGGGGGUGAAGAGGGAAGUCCUGCCCCCAAGAACACAGAGUGGGUGCUGCUGAGGGUCAUCAAAAGGAAGUGGUCAGAGCCGAGGUGAACAGGACCCUACAAGGUUGCUGAAAGGACCACCCACACCGUCCGGCUGAAGGGAAAAGGAAACACAUGGUACCACUGGACGAUGUGUGCAGCAGCUGAUCCUCCCAUCAGGACCUUGGCAGAGAUAAGCAAAGAUUUGAAAGAGCAGUCAUAAACUGUUGAGAGAGAAAGGAAAAGAGACAUUUUCUAUUUUUAGCUUUGCACAACACAGGACAGUGUGAGUCAAUUAGAUGAGAAGGCAUUACACAUCUUACGUUGAGAGAGGUUCUGCUCAGCUACAGGGAUAGGAUAGAAGACUCCACUAGAGGGUUGCUAUUUAGCCUACUUAUUUUUUAAUCAUUUUAUUCAUUUUUUACUUAAGUAUUAUUCAUUUUAUUUUACUGCAUGUUAGUCACACACACUGAUCCUCAGUUCAACCACACACCAAUCUGCCAGACAGUUGGUGGGCAAGCAUUAAUUCAGUUGGCUGAAGAGCACCACAGAGCUAGAAUUAGACUCACAGUCAUUGUCUCUACAGUUUUCAUUAUAUCGGUUAUUACUCUUACUGUUACCUUAUACUUAUAUUUGAUUCGCAGUUAAUCAUGUGCAUCCCCGAUAAUAAGUGGGGAUGGUUGGGUGUGUUUUGUCUUUUUGCUCUUAUUGUUGCAGUUCCUCC